GACGAACCGUGCGAACGUUGUUCGGAAUCACUGGGCUUAAAGGGCGCGUAGGCGGGCAGUCAAGUCAGGGGUGAAAUCCCGCGGCUCAACCGCGGAAGGGCCUUUGAUACUGGCUGUCUCGAGGGAGGUAGGGGCGUGCGGAACUUCCGGUGGAGCGGUGAAAUGCGUAGAUAUCGGAAGGAACGCCGGUGGCGAAAGCGGCGCGCUGGACCUCUUCUGACGCUGAGGCGCGAAAGCCAGGGGAGCAAACGGG
This 253-nucleotide ribosomal RNA is filed under the name uncultured bacterium. RNAcentral's name for it is "partial 16S ribosomal RNA". It matches the Rfam family "Bacterial small subunit ribosomal RNA", at positions 524 to 776 of the family's 1533-position model. The record is from RNAcentral.